RNAcentral lists this transfer RNA (85 nucleotides) under Candidatus Parcubacteria bacterium. RNAcentral's name for it is "tRNA-Leu". It matches the Rfam family "tRNA". Rfam says of the family: Transfer RNA (tRNA) molecules are approximately 80 nucleotides in length. Their secondary structure includes four short double-helical elements and three loops (D, anti-codon, and T loops). Further hydrogen bonds mediate the characteristic L-shaped molecular structure. tRNAs have two regions of fundamental functional importance: the anti-codon, which is responsible for specific mRNA codon recognition, and the 3' end, to which the tRNAs corresponding amino acid is attached (by aminoacyl-tRNA synthetases). tRNAs cope with the degeneracy of the genetic code in two manners: having more than one tRNA (with a specific anti-codon) for a particular amino acid; and 'wobble' base-pairing, i.e. permitting non-standard base-pairing at the 3rd anti-codon position. The record is from RNAcentral. Lineage: Bacteria; Candidatus Parcubacteria.
GCCCGGGUGGCGGAAUUAGAAGACGCGUGCGACUCAAAAUCGCAUGGGGUUUUUCCCCUUGAGGGUGCAAGUCCCUCCCCGGGCA